UUUUAAGGUCAAGCUACAAAGGGCGCAUGGUGAAUGCCUUGGCACUAGGAGCCGAAGAAGGACGCGAUAAGCUGCGAUAAGCCUUGGGUAGCCGCAAAUAGGCUGAGAUCCAGGGAUUUCCGAAUGAGGAAACUCACAUGGGUAACCCCAUGUAUCAUGCACUGAAUACAUAGGUGUAUGAGGGUAAACCCGGGGAACUGAAACAUCUAAGUACCCGGAGGAAGAGAAAGAAAAAUCGAUUUCCUAAGUAGCGGCGAGCGAACGGGAAAGAGCCCAAACCAGAAACUUGUUUCUGGGGUUGUGGAUAGAUCAUAAAAGAAGAGGUAUCUUAAUCGAAGAGGGCUGGAACGCCCUACCAUAGAAGGUAAUAGUCCUGUAGAUAAAAAGAGAAAACUUCGAGAUCUAAUCCAGAGUACCACGAGACACGUGAAACCUUGUGGGAAGCAGGGAGGACCACCUCCCAAGGCUAAAUACUACCUAGUGACCGAUAGUGAAGCAGUACCGUGAGGGAAAGGUGAAAAGAACCCCGGAAGGGGAGUGAAAUAGAACCUGAAACCGUGUGCCUACAACCGAUCGGAGCACGUUAAAGUGUGACGAUGUGCUUUUUGUAGAACGAGCCAGCGAGUUACGCUAUGUAGCAAGGUUAAGUACUUAAGGUAUGGAGCCGAAGGGAAACCGAGUCUGAAAAGGGCGAAAAGUUGCAUGGUGUAGACCCGAAACCGGGUGACCUAUCCAUGGCCAGGUUGAAGCGAGAGUAAAAUCUCGUGGAGGACCGAACCACGUUGGUGUUGAAAAACCAUGGGAUGAGCUGUGGAUAGCGGAGAAAUUCCAAUCGAACUCGGAGAUAGCUGGUUCUCCUCGAAAUAGCUUUAGGGCUAGCGUCGUGUAAUUGAGUAAUGG
This 900-nucleotide ribosomal RNA is filed under the name Clostridium botulinum. Its description in RNAcentral is "partial 23S ribosomal RNA". It matches the Rfam family "Bacterial large subunit ribosomal RNA", at positions 1 to 900 of the family's 2925-position model. The record is from RNAcentral. Lineage: Bacteria; Bacillati; Bacillota; Clostridia; Eubacteriales; Clostridiaceae.